GACGAACGCUGGCGGCGUGCCUAAUACAUGCAAGUUGGGCGCUGAAGGUUGGUACUUGUACCAACUGGAUGAGCAGCGAACGGGUGAGUAACGCGUGGGGAAUCUGCCUUUGAGCGGGGGACAACAUUUGGAAACGAAUGCUAAUACCGCAUAAAAACUUUAAACACAAGUUUUAAGUUUGAAAGAUGCAAUUGCAUCACUCAAAGAUGAUCCCGCGUUGUAUUAGCUAGUUGGUGAGGUAAAGGCUCACCAAGGCGAUGAUACAUAGCCGACCUGAGAGGGUGAUCGGCCACAUUGGGACUGAGACACGGCCCAAACUCCUACGGGAGGCAGCAGUAGGGAAUCCUCGGCAAUGGACGAAAGUCUGACCGAGCAACGCCGCGUGAGUGAAGAAGGUUUUCGGAUCGUAAAACUCUGUUGGUAGAGAAGAACGUUGGUGAGAGUGGAAAGCUCAUCAAGUGACGGUAACUACCCAGAAAGGGACGGCUAACUACGUG
Molecule: ribosomal RNA, 497 nt
Filed under: uncultured bacterium
Lineage: Bacteria
Description: partial 16S ribosomal RNA
Rfam family: Bacterial small subunit ribosomal RNA
Source: RNAcentral